CUAGCUAGUUUUUUCAAAAGUUCACAGCCUCGUAAGGUGGGGAGUUGCAGUAUAGAAUCAUUAUAUAUAUCCCCUUAAUAGCAAGUCAUCAAUCACACUAUAAAUAGCAAGUCAGAGGUUGUAAUAUUUAGCAAUUGAAGUCAUCAAUUCUCACCAUUUGCCUCUCAAGAUGAAAACCGGACAUUUCUCAUCCUCGCUUGUUCUUCUCUUCCUCGUAUUGGUUGCUCGUGUAGGCGAUGCAAGGAAAGAUCCAGGAGAAUACUGGAGGAGCACAAUGAGUGAGGAGGUGAUGCCUAAGAUAAUACACGACCUCAUGGAUCAAAAUUCGACAUCGUCAGAUUCUAUGAAUUUAGAUCACUUUGUUAGAGACUUCGAGACCAAGCCUAAUGUCAUAAUAUAUCACCACGCUCGUCAUCAACAAUCAGACCCACAACUUUGAAGGACUGAAUAACAUGUUUGUCGAGCACGAGCAAAAAGGGGAUGGGCGGCCAAAUGUUUGUAGAUUCAAUUUCAUGUUGUUCAAAACUAUAUUUUCUCGUUGCGGUGCGGUUACUUUGGUUGUAAAAUUUUCAUUCAAAAAUAAUGAAUAAAAAAAAUGAGAAAAUAUUAUAUUUUCUCAUAUUUUAUCA
Salvia miltiorrhiza (redroot sage) is the source of this 629-nucleotide long non-coding RNA. RefSeq lists it as uncharacterized. The record is from RefSeq and is a predicted model, not a curated record. The transcript has 2 exons. NCBI's taxonomy places the organism in Eukaryota, Viridiplantae, Streptophyta, Magnoliopsida, Lamiales, Lamiaceae.